Molecule: ribosomal RNA, 568 nt
Filed under: uncultured bacterium
Lineage: Bacteria
Description: partial 16S ribosomal RNA
Rfam family: Bacterial small subunit ribosomal RNA
Source: RNAcentral
UGGGGAAUAUUGCACAAUGGGCGCAAGCCUGAUGCAGCCAUGCCGCGUGUGUGAAGAAGGCCUUCGGGUUGUAAAGCACUUUCAGCGAGGAGGAAGGUGGUGAGCUUAAUACGCUCAUCAAUUGACGUUACUCGCAGAAGAAGCACCGGCUAACUCCGUGCCAGCAGCCGCGGUAAUACGGAGGGUGCAAGCGUUAAUCGGAAUUACUGGGCGUAAAGCGCACGCAGGCGGUUUGUUAAGUCAGAUGUGAAAUCCCCGGGCUCAACCUGGGAACUGCAUUUGAAACUGGCAAGCUAGAGUCUCGUAGAGGGGGGUAGAAUUCCAGGUGUAGCGGUGAAAUGCGUAGAGAUCUGGAGGAAUACCGGUGGCGAAGGCGGCCCCCUGGACGAAGACUGACGCUCAGGUGCGAAAAGCGUGGGGCAGCAAACAGGAUUAGAUACCCUGGUAGUCCACGCUGUAAACGAUGUCGAUUUGGAGGUUGUGCCCUUGAGGCGUGGCUUCCGAGCUAACGCGUUAAAUCGACCGCCUGGGGAGUACGGCCGCAAGGUUAAAACUCAAAUGAAUUGAC